UGCGACAGAAUUUUAUCCUUGGAUCGGAUUGACUGAAGUGGGACGGUGAUGGCAGGACAUGCAAGAAAAGUCUCCGACCGAAGGUGGCUCCAGCGGAGAUCCUUCGAUACUUAAAUUAGAAUUCUGGACAAUAGAGGAAAGGAGUAAGCGUAUUAGAAGAGAGGAGUUUUUAUACCUUAGAGAUCCCUUAUGGGCCUUUAUUUAUAGGC
RNAcentral lists this long non-coding RNA (209 nucleotides) under Elaeis guineensis (African oil palm). RNAcentral describes it as "long non-coding RNA (EGUI_LNC044948)". The record is from RNAcentral. Lineage: Eukaryota; Viridiplantae; Streptophyta; Magnoliopsida; Arecales; Arecaceae.